CUACGGGUCGCAGCAGUGGGGAAUAUUGCACAAUGGGCGCAAGCCUGAUGCAGCCAUGCCGCGUGUAUGAAGAAGGCCUUCGGGUUGUAAAGUACUUUCAGCGGGGAGGAAGGGAGUAAAGUUAAUACCUUUGCUCAUUGACGUUACCCGCAGAAGAAGCACCGGCUAACUCCGUGCCAGCAGCCGCGGUAAUACGGAGGGUGCAAGCGUUAAUCGGAAUUACUGGGCGUAAAGCGCACGCAGGCGGUUUGUUAAGUCAGAUGUGAAAGCCCCGGGCUCAACCUGGGAACUGCAUCCGAUACUGGGAAGCUUGAGUGUCGUAGAGGGGGGUAGAAUUCCAGGUGUAGCGGUGAAAUGCGUAGAGAUCGGGAGGAAUACCGGUGGCGAAGGCGGCCCCCUGGACGAAGACUGACGCUCAGGUGCGAAAGCGUGGGGAGCAAACAGGAUUAGAUACCCCCGUAGUC
RNAcentral lists this ribosomal RNA (464 nucleotides) under uncultured bacterium. RNAcentral's name for it is "partial 16S ribosomal RNA". It matches the Rfam family "Bacterial small subunit ribosomal RNA", at positions 339 to 795 of the family's 1533-position model. The record is from RNAcentral.